AAUGUAUUCCCUCCGUCCCAAAAUUCUUGUCUUAGAUUUGUCUAGAUACGGAUGUAUCUGAGAUACAUCCGUAUCUAGACAAAUCUAAGACAAGAAUUUUGGGACGGAGGGAGUACGAU
Molecule: non-coding RNA, 119 nt
Organism: Triticum aestivum (bread wheat)
Lineage: Eukaryota; Viridiplantae; Streptophyta; Magnoliopsida; Poales; Poaceae
Source: Rfam